ACAGGUUAGGACAAAAGUAUAUAAAGUGUAUAUAAGUGUAAAUAAGCAUAAAUUGGAGUAAAUCUUGACCGUUUCACAUUGUUGCUUUUUAUUGCAGCUGAUUACCGUUUAUUAAGGUUUUUCAAAUGAGAAAUUGUCAAAGUUUUACAUACUUUGCCAGGAAAUUUCAAAUUUCAUAUUCCAGAAAGUUCAUAUUUCUGAAAUACAAUCCCUGUUGAAAUAAGGGAUUUCUCUGCUUGCUUUUAGGAAGACCCUCAAGAUGUACCUGUUUUCCCAGACUUUUAACUGAAAUUUAAGUUUUAAUGUUUUUAUUUACUGAGAUUGUUUUUAUCUGUUUUAUUAAUUUUAAUUGUUUUAUAUUGUUUUUACAUUUAUGUUUUAACUUUGUACGCUGCCUAAAGAUGUCUAUAUCAGGUGGUAUAGAAAUAUGAUGGAUGGAUGGAUAAGGUUAUCGAUCCCACACAUUUGUGGCCAAGAGGAGGUGGGGGUGCCCUGCCUCCUGCUUCCUAUUGAGUCAUUCACUGGGUCCAGAUAGAUUAAGCCAAAAUUGCAUUAACAUCAGAGAAUCACCGUGUCUGGUGCAACUGCCUGCCGUCCUUACCUCCUCCUCCGGGGACGGAUAACUGAGUCCUUGGCAGAGGCCUGCCAAGGCCUUGGCAGUGGGCGGCGACCAGGAAGGAGAAGCAGGGGCUAUGCAGACCAGCAGAAUCCAAGCCCUAACAGCCAAGGGCAGGCCGUACAAGCAGAGGCCACGGUGCCAUUACGGGCGGAGCAGGUCCAAGGGAGAGCUGCUGAGGAGGUGCAUCGUGAUGAUGUCAGCAGUGUGCCUCCAGAGGGGAGGGGGCUCAAGAGCCUUUGCAACAGAGGAGGAUAACAUUGACUAUGAACAAAGUGAUGGAGGAAGAGAUAGCACAGGAAAAGUUGGCAAGCUUUUCCAAAUGGAGGACCCUGAAGACGUACCUAUUUUCCCAGGCCUCCAACUGAUACCAAUUUUUUAAAUUUUAAUGUGUUUUUAUCUAUUAUGAUUUUUUUCUCUUUAUGAACUUUACAUAUUUUAUAUUUUAUAUUAUGUUUUAAUUCUGUACACCACCUAGAGAUUCCGAUAUUGGGUGGUACAUAAAUUCAAUCAACCAACCAACCAACCAGUCAAUCAAUCAAUAGAAAAGGGCCCAUCAGUGAGGCCAUCUGGACCCCGGGGUCAACCAUUAUAGGGUGGGUCCAUCGGCUGGGCGACAGCUCACUCUCUGCUCUCUGCCUCCUGGCUCACUGACCCACUGCUGGCUCCUGAUUACAGGAUUAAUCUUGACUUUAAACCAAGGUAUAUGAGUUUGUUUGUUUUUAAGUUUCUGAGCCAGAGAAAUGUACGUCAGCAAAUGUGUGUGAAAGUGUCUGCAAUGCAUGCAUGGUGAGUGUCUGAUAUUUUUUGCACAGGAGUGAAAGGAUGUUCCAAGCACACGUAUUCUUUUUCACCCCAGCCCAAUGUUGCCUCAGAAUCCAUCUGCUCCUUGGGGAUUAGGUUUGCUCAUCUCAUCUCAUUACCAGUUAUUAUCAUUAUCCAUUAGCUGAAAUUGGUUACAUAGGAAACUGCCUUAUACUGUCCAUCUAGCUCAGUAUAACACUGACCGGCAGUAGCCCUGCAUGGUUUCAGAUGUUCUCAGCCCUGCCUGGAGGUGCCAGGGAUUGAACUUGAGACCUUCGGCAUGCAAAGCAGAUGUUCUGCCAGCAAGCUACAGUCCAGCCCCACCCACCCCAUUCACACAUUAUAUUCAAAGCAUGUACAAUCUGUGUACAGAUAGAUAGAUAUGCACAUAUAAUACAGUUAUUCUCACGUUCUUCACAUGUACAGCCGUUCACUUCCUUUCUGUACCCUGCAUUGAGAGGGUCUGUACCCAGCUUCAUUUUUAAAAUGAACAGUCAUUUAGGAAAAAACACGCACAUGUGUACAGAUACCUGAACACAUUACAACCUGUCUGAAGAGGGCUAUGUUUAACUGAAAUAAUUGCAUACUUUCCCCAACCCCGCUCCAUUUCCCCCUGCCUCUUUCUCUUUUCCCCCUCUGUUUGACUUAUGUCAAUAUCAGUCAGUUAGUCAAUUUAUUACCUGAUUAGUUACAUAUAUCUAGAUUGUAAGCUCCUCAGGGCAGGGACCUGUCUUUUAUUUCUUUGUAAAGCACCAUUUGCAUUGAUGGCUAAACUAACUAAGAGUUCUUCAAUUGGGUUACAGCCCCAAUUCUCUCGUUUUGACUGACAUCGUGUUGCAUAGCAAAAGAGGAAGAAUUGUUUGCUGUGUUGAAAUAUCUGGGGGGUGAGGCUGUCACUUGAUAAAGAAGAGGGCCUGCUGGGAAUGGGGCUUCCAGGAAGGUGAUCAUGAGUUAAAUCUGAAACAGAUCAGCCAUAAAUAUAGAGGCCCUGCUCCUGGGCAGCCUAAUUAGCCAGGUCUCUUGC
Hemicordylus capensis (graceful crag lizard) is the source of this 2444-nucleotide long non-coding RNA. RefSeq lists it as uncharacterized. The transcript has 4 exons. The record is from RefSeq and is a predicted model, not a curated record. Lineage: Eukaryota; Metazoa; Chordata; Lepidosauria; Squamata; Cordylidae.